UACGGAGGAUCCGAGCGUUAUCCGGAUUUAUUGGGUUUAAAGGGUGCGCAGGCGGGAGAUUAAGUCGGCGGUGAAAUUUUGCAGCUCAACUGUAAAAGUGCCUUCGAAACUGGUUUCCUUGAGUGUAGAUGAAGUAGGCGGAAUUUGUGAUGUAGCGGUGAAAUGCAUAGAUAUUGCACAGAAGGCCGAUUGCGGAGGCAGCUUACUGAGCCAUAACUGACGCUGAGGCACGAAAGCGUGGGGAUCAAACAGGAUUAGA
This 259-nucleotide ribosomal RNA is filed under the name uncultured prokaryote. RNAcentral describes it as "partial 16S ribosomal RNA". It matches the Rfam family "Bacterial small subunit ribosomal RNA", at positions 524 to 782 of the family's 1533-position model. The record is from RNAcentral.